GACGAGCGCUGGCGGCGUGCUUAACACAUGCAAGUCGAACGGUAAGGCCCUUCGGGGUACACGAGUGGCGAACGGGUGAGUAACACGUGGGUGAUCUGCCCUGCACUUCGGGAUAAGCCUGGGAAACUGGGUCUAAUACCGGAUAGGACCAUUGCCUGCAUGGGUGGUGGUGGAAAGCUUUUGCGGUGUGGGAUGGGCCCGCGGCCUAUCAGCUUAUUGGUGGGGUGAUGGCCUACCAAGGCGACGACGGGUAGCCGGCCUGAGAGGGUGACCGGCCAAACUGGGACUGAGAUACGGCCCAGACUCCUACGGGAGGCAGCAGUGGGGAAUAUUGCACAAUGGGCGCAAGCCUGAUGCAGCGACGCCGCGUGAGGGAUGACGGCCUUCGGGUUGUAAACCUCUUUCAGCAUCGACGAAGCGCAAGUGACGGUAGGUGCAGAAGAAAGACCGGCCAACUACGUGCCAGCCGCCGCGGUAA
This 478-nucleotide ribosomal RNA is filed under the name uncultured bacterium. RNAcentral describes it as "partial 16S ribosomal RNA". It matches the Rfam family "Bacterial small subunit ribosomal RNA", at positions 28 to 523 of the family's 1533-position model. The record is from RNAcentral.